GUCAUGGCAAAUUUUAUAUUCAUCAUCAUAUCCUCAAAUGUAUGUUCAUGUGUACAAUUUGUCAUGUUUUAAUACAUGACGACUCCAUUAAUCUUUACACUUUUGAACAGCUGAAUCAUGAUUAAACAGUACAGAUCGUAUUAUUCUCAGUGCAGCACAGUCUCUGCCAAGGACAUACACUGACGUACACACUUAUCAAGACAGAUAAAGACUGGAGCCAAACCUUCUCAUAACAUCUUCAUCAUCCUCCAACAUUGCCACUAUGGGCAUCUGACUCCCUCCCUUUUGUCUCUCACUGUUGGGACCUUUUCUUAUCUGUAUAAAAAGCUUAAGCUUUGAAACUGUUGGGGCGGGGCGCGGCACUUCCUUUGGACGUCCGCCUGGACGGACGCUAAUUUUGUUUCACUUUGUUCCACUUUGUAUUCUUUUAUUUAGUUUAGAAUAAAAUCAUUUUUUAUUAAAUCAUCAAUGCUUCUCCUGGAUUCUAUCAUUCAACCAGAGCAAUGAAUCAUGUCUCAAAUGAGGUCAACCGUAAAUUCUGCCGUAACAAUUGGCGAUCACGAACAGGACCAUCUUCUGUCCACCCCUCGGACAGAGACUGGAGCACGAACCAUCGGUUGAACCUCAAACACCAAUUCGGACUAAGGUACCAGCUAAAGCCUACCAGGUACCAGGUACCAGCUAAAGCCUCAGUAGUGGGAUCGCGCAUGUGUUCAGGUACCAGCCAAUCCCAAGAGUUUUGUUUUGGUGUUUUUCCCCCUCUUCUGUUCAGGUACCUUCCGAUCCCAAGAGAGGUUGCCAGGUGUGUGGAGACUACCCUUCCUCAGACAACAACCAAUCAUCUACAACGCCAACCGGAACGACCCACACGGCAGUGAAGGUCGCGGAGCAGGCAACAUGGAUCCAAGAUGAUUGCCGACACCAGCUGAUGCUGAGACGGAGGCUGACCGAACAAUGAAGGGGGAACCGACAAGGCCACUGAGACACACACACAAGAAAACUCUCUAGAACAAGGGCCUAGCUUUGUUUAUAAGCCACACCAAAUGCUCAUAGCUAGGUUGAGGGAGGACAAGCUCAAACCUAGCUGCAGGAAUACAGUCAUAAACCCUUCUGCUACGAUUGAGGAAAAUACUCAAGGUUCUUCACUCAUGAUGCUAUUGGUUACCCCAGUUACCACUGAAC
This 1182-nucleotide long non-coding RNA is filed under the name Gouania willdenowi (blunt-snouted clingfish). RNAcentral describes it as "lncRNA (ENSGWIG00000019576.1)". The record is from RNAcentral. Lineage: Eukaryota; Metazoa; Chordata; Actinopteri; Blenniiformes; Gobiesocidae.